GCCGACGUCUCCGGACUCCCU
This 21-nucleotide non-coding RNA is filed under the name Arabidopsis thaliana (thale cress). Lineage: Eukaryota; Viridiplantae; Streptophyta; Magnoliopsida; Brassicales; Brassicaceae. The record is from RNAcentral.